CCUACGGGUGGCUGCAGUGGGGAAUAUUGGACAAUGGGGGCAACCCUGAUCCAGCCAUGCCGCGUGUGUGAAGAAGGCCCUCGGGUUGUAAAGCACUUUCAGUGAGGAAGAACGCCUGGUGGUUAAUACCCAUCAGGAAAGACAUCACUCACAGAAGAAGCACCGGCUAACUCCGUGCCAGCAGCCGCGGUAAUACGGAGGGUGCGAGCGUUGAUCGGAAUUACUGGGCGUAAAGCGCGCGUAGGUGGCUUGAUAAGCCGGUUGUGAAAGCCCCGGGCUCAACCUGGGAACGGCAUCCGGAACUGUCAAGCUAGAGUGCAGGAGAGGAAGGUAGAAUUCCCGGUGUAGCGGUGAAAUGCGUAGAGAUCGGGAGGAAUACCAGUGGCGAAGGCGGCCUUCUGGACUGACACUGACACUGAGGUGCGAAAGCGUGGGUAGCAAACAGGAUUAGAUACCCGGGUAGUC
This 465-nucleotide ribosomal RNA is filed under the name Vreelandella stevensii. RNAcentral describes it as "partial 16S ribosomal RNA". It matches the Rfam family "Bacterial small subunit ribosomal RNA", at positions 338 to 795 of the family's 1533-position model. Lineage: Bacteria; Pseudomonadati; Pseudomonadota; Gammaproteobacteria; Oceanospirillales; Halomonadaceae. The record is from RNAcentral.